GACGAACGCUGGCGGCGUGCUUAACACAUGCAAGUCGAACGGAAAGGCCCUGCUUUUGUGCGGUGCUCAAGUGGCGAACGGGUGAGUAACACGUGAGUAACCUGCCCUUGACUUUGGGAUAACUUCAGGAAACUGGGGCUAAUACCGGAUAUGAGCACCUGCUGCAUGGUGGGGGUUGGAAAGUUUCGGCGGUUGGGGAUGGACUCGCGGCUUAUCAGCUUGUUGGUGGGGUAGUGGCUUACCAAGGCUUUGACGGGUAGCCGGCCUGAGAGGGUGACCGGCCACAUUGGGACUGAGAUACGGCCCAGACUCCUACGGGAGGCAGCAGUGGGGAAUAUUGCACAAUGGGCGGAAGCCUGAUGCAGCAACGCCGCGUGCGGGAUGACGGCCUGCGGGUUGUAAACCGCUUUCGCCUGUGACGAAGCGUGAGUGACGGUAAUGGGUAAAGAAGCACCGGCUAACUACGUG
RNAcentral lists this ribosomal RNA (468 nucleotides) under uncultured bacterium. RNAcentral describes it as "partial 16S ribosomal RNA". It matches the Rfam family "Bacterial small subunit ribosomal RNA", at positions 28 to 507 of the family's 1533-position model. The record is from RNAcentral.